AUGGUAGGUCUUGAAGGCCCUGACCUUGAGAUCCCUCCUAAGCUCAUACUCCUCGCCAAUGUCGAGUGGGACGAGGGCGUGGUUGAGCUCGGACUGGUCCAUGGCGCGGUGCACGUCGAACAGCCGCUCCACGAGCUCCCUGAGGUACUUGGGGACGAAGAUGGUGGGCGGGCGCAGCCUGUAGAGCCCCCGCGUGGCCACGUACAUGGGGAGGCCUCCGAUGUGGUCGAGGUGGGCGUGCGAGAUGAAGAGGAAGUCCUGCGCCACGGCGCGCUGCGGGCACCGGCCUAUGUCGAAGGCGAGGCUCAGCGUCGGGAAGAUGACGCACGUCUCGUGCCCGCCGAUGGAGAUGCCCUCCACGGGGUACCCCUCGAUUUCCAGCCGGGGCUUCGCCUUAGCCUUUAUGGCUGGGGAGGGGCUUGGAGGAGGGGCCGUGGAGGUCGCCGCCUCGGCCGACUUGCCUCUCUUCGCCAUGCCACCGCCGCCGCCGCCGCCGCCGGGUGGAGGUACGAUUGGUGA
Molecule: ribosomal RNA, 519 nt
Filed under: Triticum aestivum (bread wheat)
Lineage: Eukaryota; Viridiplantae; Streptophyta; Magnoliopsida; Poales; Poaceae
Description: partial small subunit ribosomal RNA
Source: RNAcentral